This 30-nucleotide non-coding RNA is filed under the name Homo sapiens (human). The record is from RNAcentral. Lineage: Eukaryota; Metazoa; Chordata; Mammalia; Primates; Hominidae.
UUGCCAUGCACCGUGACAUAUUCACAGGUU